AUACGGAGGGGGCUAGCGUUGUUCGGAAUUACUGGGCGUAAAGCGCGCGUAGGCGGAUUGGUUAGUUGGGGGUGAAAUCCCAGGGCUCAACCCUGGAACUGCCCUCAAUACUGCCAGUCUAGAGAUCGAGAGAGGUGAGUGGAAUUCCUAGUGUAGAGGUGAAAUUCGUAGAUAUUAGGAAGAACACCAGUGGCGAAGGCGGCUCACUGGCUCGAUACUGACGCUGAGGUGCGAAAGCGUGGGGAGCAAACAGAAUUAGAAACCCUAGUAGUCC
Molecule: ribosomal RNA, 274 nt
Filed under: uncultured bacterium
Lineage: Bacteria
Description: partial 16S ribosomal RNA
Rfam family: Bacterial small subunit ribosomal RNA
Source: RNAcentral